Molecule: long non-coding RNA, 862 nt
Organism: Mirounga angustirostris (Northern elephant seal)
Lineage: Eukaryota; Metazoa; Chordata; Mammalia; Carnivora; Phocidae
Exons: 3
Source: RefSeq, a predicted model, not a curated record
UUUAUUUGAGAGAGAGAAAGAGAACACGAGAGGCAGAGGGAGAAGCAGACUUCCCGCUGAGCAGGGAGCCCCAUGUGGGACUCGAUCCCAGGACCCUGAAAUCAUGACCUGAGCCGAAGGCAGACGCUUAACCGACUGAGCCACUCAGCAGCUUGAAGUUCCUUCUAAGAAAACAAAAUGAGAUGAAAUCAGCAAGGAUGUGUAGAUACACGCACGGCUUAAUGCUGAUAGACUGUCCGCCUGCCAAAGCGUAAGCUCAUCUCAUCCGAAGCCGCCUGCUCGAGAUGAAAAUAUAGCCCCUUCUUUACCCAGAAAAGCAGUAUGUGUUUAAGGGAACCCAGUUCAGCCUACAGUGGACUCUCCGCAGGGUCGGCUCAAGACAGGAGAGCAGUCUGCCCUUUGGCCGGGCUGGGGAGCUCCUCCCAACACUGAUUCCAGACGGUCCUUGUCAGAGCUGUCCCAGGUGGGCGCUUGGCAGAAAUCUUUCCAAAGCCAUGUGCGAUUCAUUCCCCGUGGUCUUAGAGCCAAGAAGACUUUUGUGCCCAGGAGGCUGCCUCCCACUUUUACUUCUUGCCAGGGUCGUCAUACCCUCCUCGUGGCGUGCUCGAGUUCCGGAAACUCAUCUGCCAGCACCCGGGGCCAAAUUGCCAUGAAGGGGCCCCGAGAGGCUCAGGCCAGCGUGUUCUGGACUUGUGGGUGUCCUGGCAGUCCUUAUAUUCUCUUCUUUUGUUUAUUCUUACCUGAAGCUAUCAACACAAAUGGAAUUUUAACCAUGAAGUAUAUAAUCACAGGCAAGGUAUGGGCAUCCGAGGAUGAGAUGGGGCCCUUCUUGAGGACAGUUUCCUGAGGCUCUCUGCUGUGU